GCUAGUAAUCGCGGAUCAGAAUGCCGCGGUGAAUACGUUCCCGGGUCUUGUACACACCGCCCGUCACACCAUGGGAGUCGGAAAUGCCCGAAGCCGGUGACUCAACCUUUAAGGAGAGAGCCGUCGAAGGCAGGUCUGAUAACUGGGGUGAAGUCGUAACAAGGUAUC
RNAcentral lists this ribosomal RNA (168 nucleotides) under uncultured bacterium. Its description in RNAcentral is "partial 16S ribosomal RNA". It matches the Rfam family "Bacterial small subunit ribosomal RNA", at positions 1334 to 1500 of the family's 1533-position model. The record is from RNAcentral.